CCUAAACCCCACAAAGCAAGGUAGGUGCGUACUACCUACAGAAAAAAAAAGAUCAAUAAAAAACAAACCAAAUAAAUAUUGUGAUCUUGAAUUAAGUCAUAAUGUAAAUAAAUAAUAUAUACCAGCAUAAGAUCUUUAAUUUCUUUCAAGUUAUUAAUUGUUUCUGUCUUCAUUUUUCUUAAUUUCUAUAUAUAUUUAUAAGGGAAAAACUUGGAUCAAGCCUGCAGCCUAUCGUAUUUCAUUAACUUAAUUAUACCCUACAACCACAUCUAUAUAAUUAAGAGGAUAAAAUUAAGGAAUUAUAGAAGGUCAUAAAAAUAAGUAAAAAAAGGUUGUGAAGAUCUAGAUCAUUUCUUCGAUCACAAACAUUUUUUUCAUGAUUUAUGUUAGUUCCAUACAAUCUGAUCACCCCCACCCCACCCC
Molecule: long non-coding RNA, 423 nt
Filed under: Panax ginseng (ginseng)
Lineage: Eukaryota; Viridiplantae; Streptophyta; Magnoliopsida; Apiales; Araliaceae
Description: long non-coding RNA (PGIN_LNC005178)
Source: RNAcentral